Molecule: ribosomal RNA, 468 nt
Filed under: uncultured bacterium
Lineage: Bacteria
Description: partial 16S ribosomal RNA
Rfam family: Bacterial small subunit ribosomal RNA
Source: RNAcentral
GACGAACGCUGGCGGCGUGCUUAACACAUGCAAGUCGAACGGAAAGGCCCUGCUUUUGUGGGGUGCUCGAGUGGCGAACGGGUGAGUAACACGUGAGUAACCUGCCCUUGACUUUGGGAUAACUUCAGGAAACUGGGGCUAAUACCGGAUAGGAGCUCCUGCUGCAUGGUGGGGGUUGGAAAGUUUCGACGGUUGGGGAUGGACUCGCGGCUUAUCCGCUUGUUGGUGGGGUAGUGGCUUACCAAGGCUUUGACGGGUAGCCGGCCUGAGAGGGUGACCGGCCACAUUGGGACUGAGGUACGGCCCAGACUCGUACGGGAGGCAGCAGUGGGGAAUAUUGCACAAUGGGCGGAAGCCUGAUGCAGAAACGCCGCGUGCGGGAUGACGGCCUUCGGGUUGUAAACCGCUUUCGCCUGUGACGAAGCGUGAGUGACGGUAAUGGGUAAAGAAGCACCGGCUAACUACGUG